ACAAAAGCUUGGUCCUGACUUUACCGUCAGCUUUAACCUGAUUUACACAUGCAAGUAUCCGCACCCCUGUGAGAAUGCCCUCAUUC
RNAcentral lists this ribosomal RNA (86 nucleotides) under Chanos chanos (milkfish). Its description in RNAcentral is "partial 12S ribosomal RNA". The record is from RNAcentral. Lineage: Eukaryota; Metazoa; Chordata; Actinopteri; Gonorynchiformes; Chanidae.